RNAcentral lists this unclassified non-coding RNA (224 nucleotides) under Hevea brasiliensis (rubber tree). The record is from RNAcentral. Lineage: Eukaryota; Viridiplantae; Streptophyta; Magnoliopsida; Malpighiales; Euphorbiaceae.
CGGCCAAAGGAGCGGUUCCGGUGAGCCAGAGCGGCAGCAGAUUCCCUCUCGUCGAGCAUUGAAAUGGCCAAAUCAACCAACGCCUUCUUAGCACGACGGAACUGUCCUUCCCCAAGCAUUCUCUGAUUGUCCAAAGCGCAGAGAACAAUCUCAAUUAGCUUCUUCCACUCUCUGAUCUGUUCAAUCCCAUCUCGAAUCGCAUUACAAAGAUCCAAAGCCUUCAC